Molecule: ribosomal RNA, 438 nt
Filed under: uncultured soil bacterium
Lineage: Bacteria
Description: bacterial SSU rRNA
Rfam family: Bacterial small subunit ribosomal RNA
Source: RNAcentral
AGAGUGAACGCUGGCGGCAGGCCUAACACAUGCAAGUCGAGCGGCAGCACAGCAGUAGCAAUACUGUGGGUGGCGAGCGGCGGACGGGUGAGGAAUACAUCGGAAUCUACCCAGUCGUGGGGGAUAACGUAGGGAAACUUACGCUAAUACCGCAUACGACCUGAGGGUGAAAGCAGGGGAUCGCAAGACCUUGCGCGAUUGGAUGAGCCGAUGUCCGAUUAGCUAGUUGGUGAGGUAAAGGCUCACCAAGGCGACGAUCGGUAGCUGGUCUGAGAGGAUGAUCAGCCACACUGGAACUGAGACACGGUCCAGACUCCGUACGGGAGCAGCAGGUGGGAAUAGUGGAACAAGUGGACGCAAGCCGUGAUCCGAGCCAUCGCCGCGUGUAGUAGAAGAGGUCCGUUGGUUAGUAAGACUACGUUUGUACCGGUAAGAAAG